CCCCAGGUCAGGCGGGGCUACCCA
This 24-nucleotide ribosomal RNA is filed under the name Sarcolobus pepo. Its description in RNAcentral is "Gunnessia pepo partial 26S ribosomal RNA". Lineage: Eukaryota; Viridiplantae; Streptophyta; Magnoliopsida; Gentianales; Apocynaceae. The record is from RNAcentral.